UCCCUGGUGGUCUAGUGGUUAAGACUUGGUACUUUCAUAACUGCAGCUCAGGUUCAAUUCUUGGUGUGGGAA
This 72-nucleotide transfer RNA is filed under the name Sus scrofa (pig). It matches the Rfam family "tRNA". Rfam says of the family: Transfer RNA (tRNA) molecules are approximately 80 nucleotides in length. Their secondary structure includes four short double-helical elements and three loops (D, anti-codon, and T loops). Lineage: Eukaryota; Metazoa; Chordata; Mammalia; Artiodactyla; Suidae. The record is from Rfam by way of RNAcentral.